CCUACGGGCGGCUGCAGUGGGGAAUAUUGCACAAUGGGGGAAACCCUGAUGCAGCGACGCCGCGUGAGUGAUGACGUCCCUAGUUAUGUAAAGCUCUAUCAGCAGGGAAGCAAAUGACGGUACCUGUGUAAGAAGCCCCGGUUCACUACGUGAAAGCAGCCGCGGUAAUACGUAGGGGGCAAGCGUUAUUCGGAUUUACUGGGUGGAAAGGGAGCGUUGUCGGCAGUGCAAGUCUGGAGUGAAAGGCGGGGGUUCAACCCCCGGACUGCUCUGGAAACUGUACGUCUGGAGUGCAGGAGAGGUAAGUGGAAUGCCUAGUGUAGCGGUGAAAUGCGUAGAUAUUAGGAGGAACACCGGUUGCGAAGGCGGCUUACUGGACUGUAACUGACGUUGAGGCUCGAAAGCGUGGGGAGCGAACAGGAUUAGAUACCCUGGUAGUC
RNAcentral lists this ribosomal RNA (440 nucleotides) under uncultured bacterium. RNAcentral's name for it is "partial 16S ribosomal RNA". It matches the Rfam family "Bacterial small subunit ribosomal RNA", at positions 338 to 795 of the family's 1533-position model. The record is from RNAcentral.